CAAGAAAGUAAAUUUCUAGUAACUUCGAGUAAUUAAACCUCCCAUUGUCUUCAUUCACACGUUACAUCGUUAAAUGUAUAAAUGUGUUAUCAAAAUUGGUUAUUAUGUGAACUUGAUAUUUAAUUAUUACAUUUUAUGUCGUUAAUGCUUCUCAUGACAUAUUCAUCACAUCAAUGCAUCCAUAAGCAUAUAUUAGGUUUCAAGAAAAAUAAAAAUUUCCAAAUGUCAAUGAGUCANAGGAAUUUUUUAAAGAUAUGUAUCCCAAAUGUUUUGUUACGAGGUGUAUGUAUAUGCCAUGAAAAGUGAAAGUGGAGAAAAUGGGAUGUGGAGGACCAACACACCCGACCAAUGUUCAAUAAUAAUGUUAAUGUUAAUAUUAACUACGUUAGUACCGGUAGGACUCGACUAGGUUUCAAUAAUAAUUGUCCACUGCAUUCUAAUUGGCUAGACGAUGCACCAAGUAAGCUCACAACGUCGAUAUUAAGUGUUUAAAGAAACGAAUGAACGGGGAUACAUAAUAAUUGGGCUUAUACAAAAAGGGGCUGACCAAGGUAUUUUUUUCAAUUCCUAGAAGGCUUCACACUCCUCUAUAUAUUGGAACUUUUUUCUUCCUUUGAGGAUUUUAAAUAAAAU
This 633-nucleotide long non-coding RNA is filed under the name Olea europaea subsp. europaea. The record is from RNAcentral. Lineage: Eukaryota; Viridiplantae; Streptophyta; Magnoliopsida; Lamiales; Oleaceae.